RNAcentral lists this ribosomal RNA (99 nucleotides) under Paraclostridium ghonii. RNAcentral also lists the same sequence under 1 other name. The record is from RNAcentral. Lineage: Bacteria; Bacillati; Bacillota; Clostridia; Peptostreptococcales; Peptostreptococcaceae.
GAGGAUACACCUGUUCCCAUUCCGAACACAGAAGUUAAGCUCUUUAGCGCCGAUGGUACUUGGUGGGAAGCUGCCUGGGAGAGUAGGACGUAGCCACGU